This 1338-nucleotide ribosomal RNA is filed under the name Triticum aestivum (bread wheat). RNAcentral describes it as "partial small subunit ribosomal RNA". The record is from RNAcentral. Lineage: Eukaryota; Viridiplantae; Streptophyta; Magnoliopsida; Poales; Poaceae.
AUGCCGCCGCCUCACAGCACACAGCCGCCGUCUCCCCUUCCUCCCCGGCCGCGCCUCCUCCAGAGCCUCGGCUCGUGCUCCAGAAGAGCCGUCACGUCCGCCGCCUCCUCCCCCUCGCCCUCGCCGCCGGGAUGGCCCCGCCCUCUCCGCUACGCCGUCCUCGGCGCCGGCUUCGCGGGGCUCUCCGUCGCGUGGCACCUCCUCAAGCAGAGCCCGAAGGAUUCGCGCGUGUCGGUGGACGUCUACGACGAGAACGGCGUCGGGGGAGGCGCCUCGGGGGUCUCCGGAGGGCUUCUCCAUCCGUACUCGCCCAAAGCCAAGCUUCUCUGGAGGGGAGGCGAAUUCUGGAAAGAGAGCAUGGAUCUCCUGCGCAGCGCAGAGAAAGCGAAUGACACCGCUGGAUCAGAUCGGGAUGAUGAGUCCCUUAUCUGGAGAAGGGGAAUUUUGCGGCCACCUACGACAGAGAAGGCUGCUGAUAUAUUGCUAGAGAAUGCUCAGAGUUGCCUCCAGAGUUGCAGCCUUCAAGUUCUUGAUUCGGAUGCUGCACAGCGACUUAUCCCUGGGUUACAUGUUCCGCUCAACCUUGCGGUUUAUAUGCCACUAGCACUGAACAUCAACCCUAGGAAAUAUUUACAGGCAUUGUUCUCUGCAUGCCAAAAUGUGGCUAACGAAGCAUCUGCGUCGUCCAGUGAACAGAAAGAGUUCAAUCUGUACAAUGAACAUAUUGAUAAUCUACAUCAAUUUUCAGGAGAUUAUGAUGCAGUGAUCAUCUGCCUUGGGGGCAAAGCUAGCUCACUUCCAGAACUUACAAAUAAGUUGCCUCUUAGAACCUGCAGAGGAGUUAUUGCUGAAUUCCAACUGCCAUCAGACACAGUAGAAAAAUAUGGCAGCCAAAGUCCUUCAAUCUUGUCUGAUGCAUGGCUGGCAUUCCAAGGACCCUGUACCGUUUCUGUCGGGUCAACUUGGCAAUGGAAGUCUGACAAUCAUGAUCCAAGUGUAUCUGAUGAAGAAGCACGUACUGCAACGGAAGAGCUGCUCCCAAAAGCUUCUGCUGUUUAUCCAGGAAUAAGUAAAUGGGAUUAUGUACGAGCAAGGGCCGGGAUAAGAGCCAUGCCUCCAUUGACAGCCAAUGGAUCCCUGCCACUGUUGGGUUGUCUAAAUGAUGUAAUAGGCGAGAGAAGCAAUUGCGCCUUUUGGCUAGUCGGUGGCCUUGGAGCCAGGGGCCUCCUGUAUCAUGGAUUAGCUGGAAAACUAACUGCCAAAGCUGUGAUUUCCAGUGAUGAAAACAUGAUACCUUCUGAAUUCACAUGCUGGAAGGCGAUCAAGGCUUCGCGGUGA